ACACCUGUGCCUAUGUUCUCGCCAGGAGAGCUGAGACAUCUCUAGAAGGUAAACAUGGCGUCCUCAGCACAGGACCCUGCUGGAGCCCUGAGGGGAGACUUAGAAGCAGCAAAGCCAAUGUUCUUGUCCCAGCUCUUCUCUCUCUCCUCGAGCUCUGCCUGGGUGAACGCUGCGGGUCCCCAGUUGGUGAUCAGAUGAGGGUUCUUGGAACCUAAGCGACAAGCGUGCUUUCAAUGCAGGAAGGCUGGCUCUCUCCGCACCUGUCAUCGCAUCAGGGGGACAACACUCCUACUUCUCUGAGGAAUACCCAAAAAGGUCCGCCAGCCAAAAGAGCAGCAACUAUGCACGCAGGGAGGUUACCCAGGAGCACUUACUAAGGAGGACAAGCUUAAGAGAAUCCACAGGAGCAUCAUGGCUUCAGCGGGCUCUCUGCUCCCAUCUCCCUGUAGGAACCCUGGGAUUGCAAAUGUACAUUCCCCCAUCCAGGCAUUGACGUGGGUGCUCAGCUGUCCUUGCCUUUGUCUUCAUUCCCCCAUCAUGGACUCUAACCACUGAAACCGGCCUGCUUCCGCUCCAACUCCAACUGUUCCAGCUGUGCCAUGGCCUCCUGCAAUGCCUGCUCCUUCAUGACACGCUGCUGUUCCAGCUCCUGCUUCUCCGCCUCUGUUGUCUGAAUGGCCUGCUGCUGCUCCAGGUGCCACUUUUCCAGCUCUGCCCUCUUAGAAGACUCUUCCUCCAGCAACCUGUAACACAGAGGACACUCGGGGUCACACCCUGCUGGGGACCCUGGCCAAGAUGGACAAGCAUUUCAGAGACGAGCAUCUCAGUCAUCCGAGGCCUCCCAUCUUAAAGGAGACUGGGAGCCAAGGAGUGUCUAUCACAAAGCCUGAGAGCAGCCCGCAUGUCCUGCUCCAAGUGUCCUCAAUCUUACAUGAAGGAAAACGAAAACUAGCAUUUAGACAGUGGCAAGUGUAUGUUAAGAACAGCGUCAAGUGUGUUUUCUCCGCUGCUUUGCAGAGUGCACAUAUGUUCAAUUAGUAGUCACAUCUGAGAUGAAGAAGUAAGGCCAAGGAGCCAAGCUCUGCAACCUGCCUAGUUGCUACAACACUGAAACAUUUAUUCAUCUAAUAAAGACCUAUUACCAACAAAACAAUCCUGGAGGUACCGGUCCCUCGUCACAGAUGAAGGAAUGUGUCCACAAGUGUACCGCAGAGGACACAAUGGACUUCAAUGCAGGUGUUUGACGCCAAAGUGCUAGUCGCAAGAACAAGCUGGCUUGGAUUAGUCAACUACAUUUGUGUUUAAAUAAAUAAACCAAUACACCGCCCAAGCCUGCACUACGCAGACAGUGUAGCCAAACGCCAACAGUGUCAAGGCACAAGUCUAACAAGGAGCCACAGAGUCAAGUCAUCUGGCAGGGCAACCACUGUCACCUGCAGCAUCUGCUCUCUACAGCAGCAGCAAGGAAAGAGGCAAGGACCACACCACCCCUUCCAGAUCCCAAAUCCCCCUAGAGGCACACUUGAGCUCCUUGGAAGUCUCCAGAAUACAGUGUCUACCACUGAGCGCAGCACCGCAGACAGCCCUGACAUGCACUCCCCGUUCAUAGCUAUCCAUUACGCAUCUGUGUUCUUUGCCAAUGCUCUUCUAUGGUCAGUGAGAGUGCUGAAGUACAGAGGAAGGGCAAGCUUUCAGAGGGCUAGGCUGCUUCAUGCAGCUAGAGAAUAGCACAGUGGGGUCUUGUGGGAGGUGAAGCCCCAUCUCCCAGUACAGACUCCACCAUACAGACCUUGCCACCUGCCCUUGGCAGCAGAGCUUGGUGGAACAAGAAAUGAGCUUGGCAAAGCAAUUGUUCCCUGGAACUCUGACUCAAAAGCGCCUGGCACAGAACCAGAGACGAUGGAUAAUUGUUCUUACUGAUGGCAGGGGCAACAGGAGAGCUGACCUGUGUGUGUCUGUGGCAUCCGCCCCAGGCCCAUACCCCUUGGUUCCUGCCACUGUUCAAGCCAGGCCACCUGCCCUCCAUGGAACUGGAGAACUAUUUAAGAAUGUUCCCAUAAAUCACCUUUUGCCUUCCCUCAUCCAAGUUGGUUUCUGUGGUUUGCAAACUGACCUCUGACUAAAGGUUUCAGCACUUCCGC
RNAcentral lists this long non-coding RNA (2141 nucleotides) under Mus musculus (house mouse). RNAcentral describes it as "predicted gene 45515". The record is from RNAcentral. Lineage: Eukaryota; Metazoa; Chordata; Mammalia; Rodentia; Muridae.